RNAcentral lists this ribosomal RNA (190 nucleotides) under uncultured bacterium. RNAcentral's name for it is "partial 16S ribosomal RNA". It matches the Rfam family "Bacterial small subunit ribosomal RNA", at positions 707 to 895 of the family's 1533-position model. The record is from RNAcentral.
CACCGGUGGCGAAGGCGGCCUGCUGGACCAAAACUGACGCUGAGGCUCGAAAGCGUAGGUAGCAAACAGGAUUAGAUACCCUGGUAGUCCACGCUGUAAACGAUGAAUACUAGGUGCUGGGAGGCAUAAGCCUUUCGGUGCCGUCGCAAACGCAUUAAGUAUUCCACCUGGGGAGUACGUUCGCAAGAAU